UCCCAGGUAGCUCAGUGGUAAAGAAUCUGCCUGCCAAUGCAGGAGACAUGGGUUCGAUCCCUGGUUUGGGAA
RNAcentral lists this transfer RNA (72 nucleotides) under Ovis aries (sheep). It matches the Rfam family "tRNA". From Rfam's summary of the family: Transfer RNA (tRNA) molecules are approximately 80 nucleotides in length. Their secondary structure includes four short double-helical elements and three loops (D, anti-codon, and T loops). Lineage: Eukaryota; Metazoa; Chordata; Mammalia; Artiodactyla; Bovidae. The record is from Rfam by way of RNAcentral.